AAAGAAUUAGUUAAAAAAAAAAUAACAUAAAUAUGUCAAAUUUAAAUUAUUACAAUAUUGUAAUAUUCUUUU
Molecule: transfer RNA, 72 nt
Filed under: Maliattha signifera
Lineage: Eukaryota; Metazoa; Arthropoda; Insecta; Lepidoptera; Noctuidae
Description: tRNA-Asp
Source: RNAcentral